GAAGCCUGCCCAGGUAGCCGCUAGCCACGGGCCUGGAAUCGAGACUUGCAGUCGGACCGGCAACGGGCCGAUUGAUGCGUAGUCACGAAAGGGGGCGAGGUGCAAGGGUAACAGGUGAUGCUGACCUUGAAGGUGUAGAGCUCCGAAAAGACCGACGUUGGGAUCGGCCGAUGGUUUAAAUGGGCCAGCAGGCAACAGCGCUGCACGCGUCACGGCGAGUGUGCAGCGACCCCCCGGAGCCUCAGGCCG
Molecule: non-coding RNA, 249 nt
Organism: Thiocapsa marina 5811
Lineage: Bacteria; Pseudomonadati; Pseudomonadota; Gammaproteobacteria; Chromatiales; Chromatiaceae
Source: Rfam